RNAcentral lists this unclassified non-coding RNA (345 nucleotides) under soil metagenome. Its description in RNAcentral is "partial contains 5.8S ribosomal RNA, internal transcribed spacer 2, and large subunit ribosomal RNA". The stretch from base 1 to 119 matches the Rfam family "5.8S ribosomal RNA", at positions 35 to 154 of the family's 154-position model. The record is from RNAcentral.
GAUGAAGAACGUAGCGAAAUGCGAUACGUAAUGUGAAUUGCAAAUUCAGUGAAUCAUCGAGUCUUUGAACGCACAUUGCGCCCCCUGGUAUUCCGGGGGGCAUGCCUGUCCGAGCGUCAUUGCUGCCCUCAAGCACGGCUUGUGUGUUGGGCCCCGUCCUCCGAUCCCGGGGGACGGGCCCGAAAGGCAGCGGCGGCACCGCGUCCGGUCCUCGAGCGUAUGGGGCUUUGUCACCCGCUCUGUAGGCCCAGCCGGCGCUUGCCGAUCAACCCAAAUUUUUAUCCAGGUUGACCUCGGAUCAGGUAGGGAUACCCGCUGAACUUAAGCAUAUCAAUAAGCGGAGGA